CUUCUUUGUGCUCGGGUUAGGAGGAGCUAGGCUGCCAUCAGACCAGUGCACAUACGGGGUUGCUCUUUUGCUCAUAAGAGGGGCUUCGCUGGCAGUCUGAACGGCAAGCUUGAGUCAGGAUCCUUAAUUAAGAUCCUCAAUUGGCUGGAGGGCGGAUCUCGCGAGUAGGGUACAAGGCACUAUGAAAUGAUCUAGUUUCGUGGGUGAGGGGCUGAAGGGCCUAUGAUGCACGGAGGCGGGGAAAGGAUUUAGAGAUAACAUGGUUUGAAAGGCGGGACCUGGUGCGGGGACGCUUUUGGGAGGAGUCUUCUCCCCAGCCUUAGCUGGUUUCAUGAUUUCUUUGCGUCUGUAGGCGACGCGGUAGAAAUAUUGCUUCGGUGGGUGACGCGGUACAGCUGCCGAAGGGCGUUCGUUACGGGAAUGCCGAAGCGUGGGAAAAAGGGAGCGGUGGCAGAAGACGGGGAUGAACUCAAGACAGAGCCAGAGGCUAAGAAGAGUAAGACGACCGCAAAGAAAAAUGACAAAGAGGCAGCAGGAGAGGGCCCAGCCCUGUAUGAGGACCCCCCAGAUCAGAAAACCUCACCCAGUGGCAAACCUGCCACACUCAAGAUCUGCUCUUGGAAUGUGGAUGGGCUUCGAGCCUGGAUUAAGAAGAAAGGAUUAGAUUGGGUAAAGGAAGAAGCCCCAGAUAUACUGUGCCUUCAAGAGACCAAAUGUUCAGAGAACAAACUACCAGCUGAACUUCAGGAGCUGCCUGGACUCUCUCAUCAAUACUGGUCAGCUCCUUCGGACAAGGAAGGGUACAGUGGCGUGGGCCUGCUUUCCCGCCAGUGCCCACUCAAAGUUUCUUACGGCAUAGGCGAGGAGGAGCAUGAUCAGGAAGGCCGGGUGAUUGUGGCUGAAUUUGACUCGUUUGUGCUGGUAACAGCAUAUGUACCUAAUGCAGGCCGAGGUCUGGUACGACUGGAGUACCGGCAGCGCUGGGAUGAAGCCUUUCGCAGGUUCUUGAAGGGCUUGGCUUCCCGAAAGCCCCUUGUGCUGUGUGGAGACCUCAAUGUGGCACAUGAAGAAAUUGACCUUCGCAACCCCAAGGGAAACAAAAAGAAUGCUGGCUUCACGCCACAAGAGCGCCAAGGCUUUGGGGAAUUACUGCAGGCUGUGCCACUGGCUGACAGCUUUAGGCACCUCUACCCCAACACACCCUAUGCCUACACCUUUUGGACUUACAUGAUGAAUGCUAGAUCCAAGAAUGUUGGUUGGCGCCUUGAUUACUUUUUGUUGUCCCACUCUCUGUUAACUGCAUUGUGUGACAGCAAGAUCCGUUCCAAGGCCCUCGGCAGUGAUCACUGUCCUAUCACCCUAUACCUAGCACUGUGACACCACCCCUAAAUCACUUUGAGCCUGGGAAAUAAGCUCCCUCCUCCUUUAAACACUCUUCAGAGAAAUCUGCAUUCUAUUUCUCAUCUAUAAAAAUAGGAAUCCUCCAACCAGGCUCCUGUGAUAGACUUAGAGUUCUUUUAAGCCGAAGAUUUUUUAUUUGAGGGUUUUUUGUUUUUUAAAAUAAAUUGAACAAAGACUACUAAUGACUUUGUUUGAA
RNAcentral lists this small RNA (1597 nucleotides) under Pongo abelii (Sumatran orangutan). RNAcentral's name for it is "retained intron". Lineage: Eukaryota; Metazoa; Chordata; Mammalia; Primates; Hominidae. The record is from RNAcentral.